This 349-nucleotide ribosomal RNA is filed under the name Scymnus scalpratus. RNAcentral's name for it is "partial 16S ribosomal RNA". Lineage: Eukaryota; Metazoa; Arthropoda; Insecta; Coleoptera; Coccinellidae. The record is from RNAcentral.
AGUAGGGCCUGCCCACUGAAAUUUUGAAGGGCCGCAGUAUCUUAACUGUGCAAAGGUAGCAUAAUCAUUAGUUUUUUAAUUGAAAGCUGGAAUGAAAGGUUUGAUGAGGAAUUAGCUGUUUCAAUUUUAAUUAUUUAGAAUUUUAUUUUUAAGUUAAAAAGCUUAAAUAAUUGUAAAAGACGAGAAGACCCUAUAGAGUUUUAUUAUUAUUAUUAUAUUAAAUAUAAGGAAUUUUAUUAUUUAUUAUUUUAUAAUAAUUUAAUUGGGGUGAUUAGAAAAUUUAAUUAACUUUUCUUAUAUAAAAUCAUUAAUAUAUGAAUUAUUGAUCCAUUUGAAUGAUUAUAAGAAU